GGGACACGUGAAACCCUGUGGGAAGCAGGAGGGACCACCCUCCAAGGCUAAAUACUACCUAGUGACCGAUAGCGUAUAGUACCGUGAGGGAAAGGUGAAAAGAACCCCGGGAGGGGAGUGAAAUAGAACCUGAAACCCUGCACUUACAAGCUGUGGAAGCACAUUUCUUGUGUGACCGCGUACUUUUUGUAGAACGGGCCAACGAGUUACGUUAAGUAGCAAGGUUAAGCACUUAAGGUGCGGAGCCGUAGCGAAAGCGAGUUUUAACUGAGCGUUCAGUUACUUGACGUAGACCCGAAACCGGGCGACCUACCCAUGAGCAGGAUGAAGCGAAAGUAAAAUUUCGUGGAGGUCCGAACCCACGAGCGUUGAAAAGCUCGGGGAUGACUUGUGGGUAGCGGUGAAAUUCCAAUCGAGCCCGGAGAUAGCUGGUUCUCCCCGAAAUAGCUUUAGGGCUAGCCUCAAGGUGAGAGAUACGGAGGUAGAGCACUGAAUGUCCUAGGGGGUAUUGCACCUACCGAAGACUAUCAAACUCCGAAUGCCGUCAUCUUAUACUUGGGAGUCAGACUGUGGGUGAUAAGAUUCAUAGUCGAAAGGGCAACAGCCCAGAUCGUCAGCUAAGGUCCCUAAAUGUAAGUUAAGUGGUAAAGGAUGUGGGAUUGCACAGACAACCAGGAUGUUGGCUUAGAAGCAGCCACUCAUUCAAAGAGUGCGUAAUAGCUCACUGGUCGAGUGAUCCUGCGCCGAAGAUUUCCGGGGCUAAAACUUACUACCGAAGCUACGGCAUCAGUAAUGAUGGGUAGGGGAGCUUCCCAUACGGGUUGAAGCAUGACCGUAAGGACAUGUGGACAGUAUGGGAGUGAGAAUGUUGGCAUGAGUAGCGAGAUGUGGGUGAGAAUCCCACAGGCCGUAAACCCAAGGUUUCCAGGGGAAGGUUCGUCCGCCCUGGGUUAGUCGGGACCUAAGCUGAGGCCGAAAGGCGUAGGUGAUGGACAACAGGUUGAUAUUCCUGUACUACCGAUAACCGUUUGAGAGAAGGGAUGACACAGUAGGAUAAGCUAAGCACACUGUUGGUUAUGUGUGCCCAAGCAUUGAGGCAGUCAAAGUAGGCAAAUCCGCUUUGAUAAUGCUGGGAUGUGAUGGGGAGCGAAAUUUAGUAGCGAAGUAGCUGAUUUCACACUGUCAAGAAAAGUCUCUAUCGAGGUUAAAGGUACCCGUACCGCAAACCGACACAGGUGGGUGAGGAGAGUAUCCUAAGGCCAGCGAGAGAACUGUUGUUAAGGAACUCGGCAAAAUGACCCCGUAACUUAGGGAUAAGGGGUGCCACCAUCAGGUGGCCGCAGAGAAUAGGCCCAAGCGACUGUUUACCAAAAACAUAGGUUUCUGCUAAGUCGCAAGACGAUGUAUAGGAGCUGACGCCUGCCCGGUGCUGGAAGGUUAAGGGGAUCUGUUAGAGCAAUCGAAGCAGUGAACUUAAGCCCCAGUAAACGGCGGCCGUAACUAUAACGGUCCUAAGGUAGCGAAAUUCCUUGUCGGGUAAGUUCCGACCCGCACGAAAGGCGUAACGAUUUGGGCACUGUCUCAACAACAGACUCGGUGAAAUUGUAAUUCCGGUGAAGAUGCCGGAUACCUGCGACAGGACGGAAAGACCCCAUGGAGCUUUACUGUAGCUUGACAUUGGGUCUUG
This 1687-nucleotide ribosomal RNA is filed under the name Clostridioides difficile. RNAcentral describes it as "partial 23S ribosomal RNA". It matches the Rfam family "Bacterial large subunit ribosomal RNA", at positions 419 to 2126 of the family's 2925-position model. Lineage: Bacteria; Bacillati; Bacillota; Clostridia; Peptostreptococcales; Peptostreptococcaceae. The record is from RNAcentral.